Molecule: small nuclear RNA, 164 nt
Filed under: Castor canadensis (American beaver)
Lineage: Eukaryota; Metazoa; Chordata; Mammalia; Rodentia; Castoridae
Description: U1 spliceosomal RNA (ENSCCNG00000012835.1)
Rfam family: U1 spliceosomal RNA
About the family: U1 is a small nuclear RNA (snRNA) component of the spliceosome (involved in pre-mRNA splicing). Its 5' end forms complementary base pairs with the 5' splice junction, thus defining the 5' donor site of an intron. There are significant differences in sequence and secondary structure between metazoan and yeast U1 snRNAs, the latter being much longer (568 nucleotides as compared to 164 nucleotides in human).
Source: Rfam by way of RNAcentral
AUACUUACUUGGCAGGGGAGAUAGCAUGAUCACAAAGGUGGUUUUCCCAGGGCAAGGCUUAUCCAUUGCACUCUGGAUGUGCUGACCCCUGCGAUUUCCCCAAAUAUGGGAAACUUGACUGCAUAAUCUGUGGUAGUGGGGGACUGCGUUUGUGUUCUCCUCUG